UUGCAGGCAGCUUCCAGCCAUGCACCGUCUGGCCGGUGAGGCAGGCAGCAGUUCUGGGGAGCGGAGCAGGCCUCAGCUCUGAGCAGAUAGGGAAGGCUUUGUUAACUAUAAGUAGGAGUGGAGUGCUCAAGUCCCUGCUGCAGCUGCAGGGGAUGUGCCAGCUUCAUUAGAAAAACCACAGUCAGCAGAAGGAGGAUGGGUGAUCCCGAGUCUCGAGUCUCGGUCUGAACAGUGAGAAUAGGUGCAGGUACCACGGGGAAAUGUUUGCCUGUUUCCCGCGCAGUGGAAGGAAGCUGCCUUGUGCGGAAGUGUGAAAUCUGGAUAGCAGCACUUAUGCAUUACAAUAGAUAACAAAAAAUGAAAGGUUGUAGGCAUGACCAAGUCAGGCUCUGAUGGUCAUCAGUAAGCAUAGAAAGGUUCAUGUUUGUGCAUAUGAGAGGCUCACAGAAUCACAGAAUCACAGAGAGGUUGGCAUUAUGCAGAACUGAGGAAAAUGAAUCCAUGAAGCAGAGACAAGCAGAAGAGUCCAAGGUUGCAGUCAGGGAAUUGCUGGCCUCCUAGAGCAGAACAGGUAUGGAUGCAUUGAGACAAACUGAAAAAGUAAUUGAGCUCCAUGUGUUGCACAGCAGCCGACUGCUGCUGCCAUUUGGCAGUCUGUGCAGCUGACUGAAGGAAGGCUUUGAGCCCACUCACCAGCUGGCUUUUAAAAGGAAGAGGGCGAGGGAAUCCCUUCUGAUGUUUAAUACUAAUAUUCACUGGUACACUUCAAAAAGUGCCUAUCAGCAUCUGAAAGGUAGAGCAAGUUAACUCUCUGCCUACCUGAUAUUAGAAAAGCUGUGGGUAAGUGAGGUUGGAAUAGGUCUUAUGCAUCUCACACAUCGGGAUUUGUCCUGGGUGAUACUGGGAUCUUCUUCUCUACCACCUCCAGCUCUGUGGGUCUGAGUGUAGGCUGUGAGACAGCUUUAGCAUGUUGUGAGCAGCGACCAAGAGCAAUCCCCCAGCAUGAGGGCAGCUCUAUGCCAAACCAGGCAGCCUCUGCUCAGGUCUCCUUCAG
RNAcentral lists this long non-coding RNA (1054 nucleotides) under Coturnix japonica (Japanese quail). RNAcentral describes it as "lncRNA (ENSCJPG00005012573.1)". The record is from RNAcentral. Lineage: Eukaryota; Metazoa; Chordata; Aves; Galliformes; Phasianidae.